This 158-nucleotide ribosomal RNA is filed under the name Neognomoniopsis quercina. RNAcentral's name for it is "5.8S ribosomal RNA". It matches the Rfam family "5.8S ribosomal RNA". Rfam says of the family: 5.8S ribosomal RNA (5.8S rRNA) is a component of the large subunit of the eukaryotic ribosome. It is transcribed by RNA polymerase I as part of the 45S precursor that also contains 18S and 28S rRNA. The record is from RNAcentral. Lineage: Eukaryota; Fungi; Ascomycota; Sordariomycetes; Diaporthales; Gnomoniaceae.
AAACUUUUAACAACGGAUCUCUUGGUUCUGGCAUCGAUGAAGAACGCAGCGAAAUGCGAUAAGUAAUGUGAAUUGCAGAAUUCAGUGAAUCAUCGAAUCUUUGAACGCACAUUGCGCCUACUGGUAUUCCAGUAGGCAUGCCUGUUCGAGCGUCAUUU